RNAcentral lists this long non-coding RNA (4148 nucleotides) under Sus scrofa (pig). Its description in RNAcentral is "lncRNA (ENSSSCG00005003875.1)". The record is from RNAcentral. Lineage: Eukaryota; Metazoa; Chordata; Mammalia; Artiodactyla; Suidae.
GACAGAUUUUGCAAGCUCAGUAGUUGAUUUGGUGGGGUACUGAUUCCUGGAGCUUACCUAUGUUGGAAGGGUUUGAGUUACACGUUCAGCUGUUUUUUUUAGGUUCCCAGGCUAGGGGUCAAAUGGGAGCUGUAGCCGCCGGCCUAUACCACAGCCACAGCUGCACCGGAUCCAAGCCACAUCUGCAACCUGUACCCCAGCUCACAGCAAUGCCGGAUCCUUAACUCACUGAGCGGGGCCAGGGAUCAAGUCCGGGUCCUCACGGAUGCGAGUCGGGUUCAUUAACCACAAGCCAGGACGGGAACUCAUUUGUUCUUUUUGAGUUGCGUAACUUCAUCUGCGUUGAGAGCACUUGCCCUCAUUUCAUGGGGUGUGGUCGCAGCUCAUGUCCUUUCUGCUGCCCCCGGCAUAUGCUUACGUCGCUGUUUUCUCUCCCUUUAGGGGUUUUCCUGGCUCUUUGCACAUCGAGUCAUUCUGGAUGGUUCUGGACAUCUUGCGUGGUCUCUGAAUCCUAUGUAAAGCCUCUAGAGAAUGUUAACUUUUUUUCUUUUUUUAAAGCAGGCACAUGAUCCAGCCAGGGUCAGACUGAACUGCCAACCUACCCGCUGUGCGCCGUGGUUCCAGGUCAGUGGUUCUCCAAGCUUGCCGAGCAGCGUGGGCAGCUCAAGGUUUCGUCGUCUCACCAGAGCGCGUCUGAAACCUGCGAACACUGGUCACUGGGGACAGGAGCACGGAGGCGGGUCCACCUGGGUCUUUCCACCCCCGCACGCGGUGCAGCCUCACCUCCGCUCGGGCCUCAACUCACCACGCGGUGAUGGCACGGAGCCUCCAGAGCUGCCUCAGCCCACGAGGCACGGGGCCCAGACGCGCGCCUCCCCCAGCGGCUGCCACCCUCUGGUCUGAGGAGCUCGUCGGCUUCUACGAACCGAAGGCCUCCUCUCUCGACUCCUUUCUCGGGUGGAGGAAGGUCACCCUGCAGGAUGGCGGUCGCCUCCUCCUCCGCUCCAUUCACUUCGGCGUGAACUACGGCAUCACCAGAGCGGCUCCUCCGGAGCAAGAAGGGGCCGCGACCUAAAGCACUGGAAGCAGGGAUCCGCCGCGGACCCCGGCCCCAAAGGCGCGGCCGUCCAGGCCGCUGUCCGCACCGCCCUGCCUGUCUCUAGGGAGGGCGCCACUCUUCGCUCCGUGGGAACUGUCCUUGAAGGCGGUGCCACACCCCGGGUGACGGGCCGGGACCUGCGUGCCCGCCUGCCCCUUAGACACGGUUUCCGUCUCACAGGACGACGUGGCUCAGCUGCUUUGCAACGUCCCUUCCCAGGCUGAGCGCUGAGCCUGCAGGAGAAACGGCAGCUACGGGCUGUUCAACUCCAACUCGACGGCAACAGCCAGGCUGACUCAGCGGGGCCUGCGACCGGAGCCUGUGCCCGGGCACACGCGCUCCCCCUUCCCGCGGUGGAGCCCGGAGCUGGCACUGCUGUCGUCACAGCCGCUCCUUCCGACACUUGUUCCAGCGCACGAGGCCUCUGGCGAGCUCCGAACAGAGCAGUGCCUGCUUAAGCUUAUCCAAAGGACAAUGAUACUCUGUAUUCAAUUAAAAUUAAUAAAAAUAUUUUAUUGAGUUUCAGGAACUUGGUACGUUUAAAAUUUCAAAUCUUUGCACACAGAUCACCACUAUACCUUAUAGAAUAGUGGAGGUUAGGACCCGAAGAUUGUCACUUGUCUCCUUGUGUCACAAAGCACAGAAAUCCCAAGUCCUGACACGGCCCCACCCUCUGACCGUGACUCUGGCCUACUCUGUCGUCCUGGGAGGGGACGGUGCGAGGGGUGACGUGUCCGGAGAGCUCAACUGUCCGAGUGGAGACCCCCCGACUCGAGAGGAAGCUCAGUCCGCGCACGAACCCGGGAGGAGCCGCGUCACUCGCCUCCCGCGUGAGUCCCCCUUUUGCGUCUUGUCGGGUUCAGGGCGAAGCUGCUGAAAUGAAGUUUCUUGUCCCUGAGGGAGCGCAGACGUUUGGCAAAGGUCAGAGCAGACACUGCCUGCAGUGAGGCGCUUAGGAACAGCCGUGCGCGGCUGGGCAGGGUCCAGUGCGACGUGACCUCUGCAGCACCAGGCUUCCCCCAGGGCCACGGGAACCAGCUGUUUCUCCCAGGGCUCGGGGGCCACAGGGCUCCUGGGACUUCCGGGCUAAAUUCAAACAUAAAAAGUGCCUGCGGUGUGGUGGUUUGUUAAUCUGUGGGGUUUUCUGCCCUCUCCCUGGCAUUCUGAGAUUUCUAUGUGCCAGUGAGUAAGCCGACUGAACAAGACGGAGGAGCAGCAAAGAGACCGCCUCACCUGUGACAAGGGCGCGCGUUAGCGCCUGACAACGCAGCCUGUCCUCCUCUUCUUGGGCUCUGAGGACGGGCGCUCUCCCGACCCACGAGCCCACCAGGGAGCCCCCAGACCCACACAAUCUACACACGGGCUCGGCAUCACCCACCGACAGGCGGCGCCUGCAGGCGACGGUGGUGGGACGUGUCUCCUAGGAGCACGGGCCAGGCCAUCUGCCCGCGGGGGGCCCCGUCCACCUCCCUCCCCAGAACUCACGGUCAGGGGCUCCAGCGGCCAUCAGUGAAGCCACCCAACCUCACACGCGGACACAGCGUGAUCUGAAUGAUUUUGCCGACUGCAAACCUUCUGAGUCAAAAGAGAAACACAAACGUACAUUCCAAGGUCUCUGGAAAGUGCCUGGGAGGCAGGCUGCUGCCUGAGGCACUCGGACCCGUCCGUGCUGCAGUCUGCAAGCGAGGCUUUGCCACUGUCACACACGUGGUCUGGAGUUGACAUGAUGGUUUUGUUUUAUUUCUGAGAUGGCUGAGUUAUAAAUCCAGCUAGUGUGCAGUCAUUUCAUAAUUUUUAAUACGCAUCGUCUGCAAUAACAUUGUGACAGCUCCAUACCGUGGAUUGACACACAAUACUGAGAACAGAUUUAUCAUAUUUGGUCUUUAGGUAAAUAAUAAAUGUUUUAAAAUUGCCUAAAUAUACCAUUCUGAGCCGUUUCAUUCCACCAGGAAAAUACAGGGUUUUUUCCCCUCUCUUUAAAAAAAAUUAAAUACCAAAAUAACUACAUUUAAAUAAAUAACGUUAUGAUGAUGACAUUUAAAAAUUCACAAGAAGGCCAGCGCCCUCUUUCUGCCUGCAGGGCUGCUCAGCUCCGAGCCCGGAUCGCUCUGGGAGGCGAGUGGCUGCUUCCCGAGGAGGGCGAGGGCCGUGCGAGGCCGCCGCCUCCGACUCUCUCACCUUCGCUUGCUCUCUGCCUGCUCUUGUUUGGGUGGGAGAGCAGUGAGCCGUAGUCCUCGAGUCAGUUCUCACAGGCGAGGGGCAUUUCCUAGUACAAGUCAGAGAACGACCUGGAUGUUUCCAGCGCUUGCCCAGAGGUGCCGCAGGAACAGGCAGCUUCUGCUCCAGUGCGAGGGGGGCUUCGGCAGCGCUUCCGGCCGGCGGGUCAGACGUGCCGAGAGCUGGUGAUGGCACCUCCGCUGCCGACGCCCUCGGGGAGAUCUGUGACAUCUGAGAGGAUGUGUGAUAAAAAGAUUAAAUCUUUUUUCCAAAUGAAGAAGUGAUAGCUCUGUUGUUUUAAACAUACACACUACGUAGGAGACCUGUUUUACUGAGAGUGGAAAUUGUGCCGGGGUCAAGGUCGACACAAAGGGACAAACGACAGCAAGGAGCAGAGAAGAGAAACAGGAAGCGCAGCUCCGGAGCCCGGUGGCUCCUCCGGCGGGGGUGGCGCGGUCGGUCGGUGCCCCGCGUGGGCGUGGAGGAGGAGCAAGAGCAGCGGCCCGGGGCUGACGAGGAGACCCUGCGGGUGUCGUCAAGGGCCCCAUCUGACUGGAGCAGGACAGACAAGGGUCCGUCAUCCCAGAGGCUGCAAACAAACAACAAAAACAAACAAAACCACGUCGCUGCUUCUCCCCAGACGAAAUCCACGCGAGAGGUCCGUGGGAUUCCGAGCGUGCCAGGGCGGAAAUGGAGUGAUCUGAAAUGUCAAAGACCCCAUUACUUUGCAAAGAAAGAAAGUACACCUCAAAAUAUUCUACUUCCACGUGUCAACAACAAAACACUGUCUCGUGCGCCAGCGGCGGGGGCCCCGGCCCCGGCCCCGCAGAUC